AUUGAACGCUGGCGGCAUGCCUUACACAUGCAAGUCGAACGGCAGCGGACCUUCGGGUGCCGGCGAGUGGCGAACGGGUGAGUAAUAUAUCGGAACGUACCUUUCAGUGGGGGAGUAACGUAGCGAAAGUUACGCUAAUACCGCAUAUUCUGUGAGCAGGAAAGCAGGGGAUCGCAAGACCUUGCGCUGAUUGAGCGGCCGAUAUCAGAUUAGCUAGUUGGUGAGGUAAAGGCUCACCAAGGCGACGAUCUGUAGCGGGUCUGAGAGGAUGAUCCGCCACACUGGAACUGAGACACGGUCCAGACUCCUACGGGAGGCAGCAGU
RNAcentral lists this ribosomal RNA (324 nucleotides) under uncultured bacterium. RNAcentral describes it as "bacterial SSU rRNA". It matches the Rfam family "Bacterial small subunit ribosomal RNA", at positions 30 to 355 of the family's 1533-position model. The record is from RNAcentral.